AACGAACGCUGGCGGUAUGCCUUACACAUGCAAGUCGAACGGUAGAGGGGCAACCCUUGAGAGUGGCGAACGGGUGAGUAAUACAUCGGAACGUGCCCAGUCGUGGGGGAUAACGUAGCGAAAGCUACGCUAAUACCGCAUACGACCUGAGGGUGAAAGCGGGGGAUCGCAAGACCUCGCGCGAUUGGAGCGGCCGAUGGCAGAUUAGGUAGUUGGUGGGGUAAAGGCCUACCAAGCCUGCGAUCUGUAGCUGGUCUGAGAGGACGACCAGCCACACUGGGACUGAGACACGGCCCAGACUCCUACGGGAGGCAGCAGUGGGGAAUUUUGGACAAUGGGCGAAAGCCUGAUCCAGCCAUACCGCGUGCGGGAAGAAGGCCUUCGGGUUGUAAACCGCUUUUGUCAGGGAAGAAAUCUUCUGGGUUAAUACCUCGGGAGGAUGACGGUACCUGAAGAAUAAGCACCGGCUAACUACGUGCCAGCCGCCGCAGUAA
Molecule: ribosomal RNA, 494 nt
Filed under: uncultured bacterium
Lineage: Bacteria
Description: partial 16S ribosomal RNA
Rfam family: Bacterial small subunit ribosomal RNA
Source: RNAcentral